AAACCGUUUCCCAUUCAUUCUCUAUGGUAGUGCUAAACCACUACGGAUGUAAUAUAUCUUUGGCCACUACGGUCUUCCGGCGCUGUUGCGAGUUUGAGAUGCGGCGGCACUUUUAAAAAAUCUCCUCUUUUACGAGAAAACAAGUAACUCACCGCUCGCAACACAUCUCAACGAUCCUCGUUCAUUGAUCAAAGAUGCAGAAGAAAAUUGCGCCAUAUCCAGGGAAAAUCUCUGUGGCAUUCCGCAAGGGGCCACUUGGAUACCUUCCCCGGGACUCGUCAAAAGAAGCUCGGCGGAUUAAAAAUGUCCCCGAGCUUCAGGACAAGUCUGCACCUGUGAGGGAGGACGAUGCUCUGACUGUCAUCUAUCAGAGAGGAGGGGAUGCCUCUGACAUGAAGGAAGUGCAGGGAGAGUACAUCCUGCAGUUUGGAAAGUAUAAAGGGAAAUCUUUCCAGUGGCUUCUGGAGAAUGAAUGUCGGGUACACCAUGUACCUGAUCAAAGAUCUCCAGAAGCAAGAGGCUGCAGGGACCUCUGUGGAAGAAGGACAUGGCAAGGAGAGCUUGCAUUCAUUUGUACAGUAUGCCCUCAGCUUUACAGAGAUAAAAACUCUUCUGAACUACGAGGCCAGCAGAGUGAGUGUUGGAGCAGAAGCCUCUGAGGAUGAUCAGCUGGUUGGCUUUGGCUCAUGAGCCAAGAGCACCUGGAAGGAGAUUUGGGGUGGCAGAGGUGACGGCUAUGGAGACUUUAUCACGAGGAAGAGCUGCAGUCAAGGAACACGGAUGCAUAAGCUGCAGCAGUACGUGCGGAAGAAGCAGCAGUCUGUGUCUGCUUCCACAAAUGCUCCAACUAAACCCCUGGGGAUGGAUGAGGAUAAAGACCUGGAGGACGCAAUGCUGAGCAUCUCACCUGUAAAACUACACAUGCAGAGCUUCACUGUGCCAGCAGCAGCAGAAGGGUCCACACCCAGAGGAUCUUCAGGAGCAAACACAGGUUUUCAAAUGAAAGGUUUCAGAACUGGAGUAAAAUAGUUUUACAUGAAUUGCUCUCCAAAGCUGAGCCUGAACUUUUAUAUAUUGUCUUGUUCUUGUUUUUGUGUGUUCUGGCCACGUUCCGGCGAUGUUCCUCUAAUAGUAUAGUUGUAUGCUGGCUGUAUGGUGGAAGAAAACAGUAAAUAAGGGAGAAACAGUUGAUUUUGUACAUAAGACAGUUUUGUUCUAGUUGUGAAUGUUUCUUUUGUUUAUAUAAAUAAA
Oreochromis niloticus (Nile tilapia) is the source of this 1251-nucleotide long non-coding RNA. RefSeq lists it as uncharacterized. NCBI's taxonomy places the organism in Eukaryota, Metazoa, Chordata, Actinopteri, Cichliformes, Cichlidae. The transcript is spliced from 4 exons. The record is from RefSeq and is a predicted model, not a curated record.